RNAcentral lists this long non-coding RNA (1844 nucleotides) under Equus caballus (horse). Its description in RNAcentral is "lncRNA (ENSECAG00000053633.1)". Lineage: Eukaryota; Metazoa; Chordata; Mammalia; Perissodactyla; Equidae. The record is from RNAcentral.
AUCAUUCUGACUUUAACAUAGGUGCUUUUGAGAAGUAAGUAAAAUCUAAAGUACAAAGGGUUUUGUAAAUCUUCUAAGGGUUCUAGACUUUGUUCAGAGAGCAGUGGGAAGCCAUUUUAGGGCUUUAGACAGUAGAGUGACAUAAUCAGAUUUGCAUCUUUAAAAAGUCAAUCUAGCUGCACUGUGGAGGAAAAUUCAGAGUGGGAAGACCUGCUAGGUGUCUACUGAAAGAGUCCAAACACAGCAUGAUAGUUGGCUCAAGUAGGCAAGUUGUAGUGGAGACACACAGAAGUUGCCAGUAUUAGAAGAGAUUGGACAGAAUUCAGUAGGGUGACGGAGAACAAGGAAUAUUUAUUAACUUCCUCUUAAGUGCCAGAUACUAAGUUAAAUGCUGAGGAUACCACACUGACCAAGACAGCAAGAAUUAGUGUCUGCCUAGAGUCUGGUGGAAAACAACACUAUGUAACUACAAGUAAAUGGAUCUUAUCAGCAAGUUAGACAGAGGGCCAUGGGAACCAAUGGACUCAUUUAGUUGGAGGAGUUCAUGCAAGGCUACAUGGAGGAGGUGAUGUUUUAAGCUGAGACUUGAAAAAAGGGUAGAAGCAAGUUAAGUGAAGGAGGGAAUGGGGGAGGGCAUUCUAAAGGGUAUAGCACCUAGGCCCUGAAAUAAGCGUGAGCAGGGUACACUCAAGAAACUGAAAGAAAUACAGUACAGUUGAAGCAUUGCAACCAGAAAGGAGUUGGGUGUGUGACAAGAAAUGAUGCAGAGAAGAUAAGCAUGAAUCAGAUCAUGGCCUCUUGAGUCCUCGUGUUACGGAUUUUGGUCUUUAUCUGAAGGGCAAUAGGAAGUCAUUGUAAGAGAUUAAGUUGGGCAGUAAAUGAUCAGAUUACAAUGUUUAAUAGAUCAGUAAAGCCUCAGUUUAGAGCAGAAGUCAGUAAACAUUUUCUAUAAAGGGCCAGAUGGUUUCUGUCACAACUAUUCAACUCUCCAUUGUAAUGCAAAAGCAUCCAUAGAUAAGUGAAUGGGCAGGCUGUGUUCCAGUAAAGCUUAGGCUUACAGAAACAGGCUGUGGGCCAUAGUUUGCCAACCCUUGCUGUAGAGAAUGAGAGGAGAGGAACAGGAAGAUUUGAAAAAAACAAACAAAAAUCAUUCGGGAAGGUAAUUCAGCAGCCAGAGGAGAAAUGAAGAUGGCUUGUACUAGGAGAAUUACAGAAGCCGCUUACGUUCUGGCCUGAUGGUUGGUAGUGUUACUUCAUGAGUUAGGAAAUGGUGGAGGAGGAUCAGGUAUAAAGUUAAGUGUGAUGUGUACAGAUUUUGACAUGUUGAGUGUGAGGCUUCUAUAGCUCAUCCAGAUGGGUUGUCUUAAUUCACAGUUGGAUUUGAAGGCUGAGCUCUCAGGAUAAAGUUCUGGAAUGAAGAUCUAGAUUGAGGAGUCAUCACCUGCAAAUUGUAAUUGAAGCUAUGGGAAUGAAUAUCAUCCAGAGAGAAGAGAGUCUGUGACAAUACCCUAAAGAGCAUCUUCAUUUAGAGGACAGGCAGAAGAUGCCGAGCCUAAGGACAAGAUUGAGAAGGAGAAGAGUGGCUGAUAGGGAGGAAGAAAAAAGAAGGAUAUUUUGAGGAAAAGUAGUAAACAAAAAUCAAGUGCUGCGGUGAGGUUAAGUAAGGCGGGAAAAUAAAACAAAAGCUUCUUCCUAAGGCCUUGUCCUUUCUUCAGCAAGAGAAGCUCUUUCUCAGCACACUUUGACAUACAUCUGAUUAGUCAGUACUGUCAGGUGACCACUACUAAAUACAAAGAAGUCUGGGAAGGCAUGCUGAAUUUUUAUUUGCUGUAUCUGGCAACCCU